RNAcentral lists this ribosomal RNA (550 nucleotides) under uncultured Funneliformis. RNAcentral's name for it is "SSU rRNA". It matches the Rfam family "Eukaryotic small subunit ribosomal RNA", at positions 548 to 1098 of the family's 1831-position model. The record is from RNAcentral. Lineage: Eukaryota; Fungi; Glomeromycota; Glomeromycetes; Glomerales; Glomeraceae.
UUGGAGGGCAAGUCUGGUGCCAGCAGCCGCGGUAAUUCCAGCUCCAAUAGCGUAUAUUAAAGUUGUUGCAGUUAAAAAGCUCGUAGUUGAAUUUCGGGAUCAAUAUUUCGGUCAUGCCGUUGGUAUGCACUGUUAUCAUUGAUUUCUCACCUUCUAAAGAACCGUAAUGCCAUUAAUUUGGUGUUACGGGGAAUUAAGACGUUUCCCUUGAAAAAAUUAGAGUGUUUAAAGCAGGCUCACGCUGGAAUACAUUAGCAUGGAAUAAUGAAAUAGGACAUCCGAUUCUAUUUUGUUGGUUUCUAGGAUCGAUGUAAUGAUUAAUAGGGAUAGUUGGGGGCAUUAGUAUUCAAUUGUCAGAGGUGAAAUUCUUGGAUUUAUUGAAGACUAACUACUGCGAAAGCAUUUGCCAAGGAUGUUUUCAUUAAUCAAGAACGAAAGUUAGGGGAUCGAAGACGAUCAGAUACCGUCGUAGUCUUAACCAUAAACUAUGCCGACUAGGGAUCGGAUGAUGUUAAUUUUUUAAUGACUCAUUCGGCGCCUUACGGGAAAC